GUUUUUCUAGUAUAGAAGUACAAUUAACUUCCAAUUAAAAAGAUUGACAAUAAGUCAAGAAAAACA
RNAcentral lists this transfer RNA (66 nucleotides) under Oxytauchira flange. RNAcentral describes it as "tRNA-Gly". The record is from RNAcentral. Lineage: Eukaryota; Metazoa; Arthropoda; Insecta; Orthoptera; Acrididae.